AACUCUCAACAACGGAUAUCUUGGCUCUCAGAUCGAUGAAGACGCAGCGAAUGCGAUACGUAGUGUGAUUGCAGAA
This 76-nucleotide ribosomal RNA is filed under the name Volvox carteri f. nagariensis. Its description in RNAcentral is "5.8S ribosomal RNA". It matches the Rfam family "5.8S ribosomal RNA", at positions 1 to 79 of the family's 154-position model. Rfam says of the family: 5.8S ribosomal RNA (5.8S rRNA) is a component of the large subunit of the eukaryotic ribosome. It is transcribed by RNA polymerase I as part of the 45S precursor that also contains 18S and 28S rRNA. Lineage: Eukaryota; Viridiplantae; Chlorophyta; Chlorophyceae; Chlamydomonadales; Volvocaceae. The record is from Rfam by way of RNAcentral.